Molecule: ribosomal RNA, 795 nt
Filed under: uncultured bacterium
Lineage: Bacteria
Description: bacterial SSU rRNA
Rfam family: Bacterial small subunit ribosomal RNA
Source: RNAcentral
AGAGUUUGAUCAUGGCUCAGAUUGAACGCUGGCGGCGUGCCUAACACAUGCAAGUCGAGCGGUAACAGGUGUAGCAAUACAUGCUGACGAGCGGCGAACGGGUGAGUAAUGCUUCGGAAUCUACCCAUUGGCGGGGAAUAACUAGCCGAAAGGUUAGCUAAUACCGCAUAAGCCCUACGGGGGAAAGCAGGGGAUCGUAAGACCUUGCACCGAUGGAUGAGCCGAAGCCGGAUUAGCUAGUUGGUAGGGUAACGGCCUACCAAGGCGACGAUCCGUAGCUGGUCUGAGAGGACGACCAGCCACACUGGGACUGAGACACGGCCCAGACUCCUACGGGAGGCAGCAGUGGGGAAUAUUGGACAAUGGGGGAAACCCUGAUCCAGCGACGCCGCGUGUGUGAAGAAGGCCUGCGGGUUGUAAAGCACUUUUAGUGGGGAUGAAAAGUUCAGGGUUAAUACCUCUGAAUCUUGACCUAACCCAAAGAAAAAGCACCGGCUAACUCUGUGCCAGCAGCCGCGGUAAUACAGAGGGUGCAAGCGUUAAUCGGAAUUACUGGGCGUAAAGCGUGCGUAGACGGUUAUGUAAGUCAGGUGUGAAAGCCCCGGGCUCAACCUGGGAAUGCCAUUUGAGACUGCAUAGCUAGGGUACGGAAGAGGGAAGCGGAAUUUCAGGUGUAGCGGUGAAAUGCGUAGAUAUCUGAAGGAACACCAGUGGCGAAAGCGGCUUCCUGGUCCAGUACCGACGUUCAGGCACGAAAGCGUGGGGAGCAAACAGGAUUAGAUACCCUAGUAGUCC